Long non-coding RNA from Mytilus californianus (California mussel), 966 nucleotides. RefSeq lists it as uncharacterized. NCBI's taxonomy places the organism in Eukaryota, Metazoa, Mollusca, Bivalvia, Mytilida, Mytilidae. The transcript has 3 exons. The record is from RefSeq and is a predicted model, not a curated record.
UUUCAUCAGUAGAUGAAUGCAGCUAUAUCUUCUUUGACUUUGGAACUUUUGAAGUACAGCUUCUGGUUGGUUAACUUAUUCGCACCCAAGUACAUGGAUCUCAGCCACCAACAGUUUGAGUGUCCACCACCACACACGUAUGAACUAGUGGAACAUUUAGAGCAGUCACCAGUAUAACAACGCACAGUAGCAUCAAGCACUCUAGAAUCUUCAAAGAUUUUGGAUGUGGACGUAAUAACUUGGUGGAUCCAGGAUUUCCCUCGACAUCUGGUAAACUGUAGGAGGUGCCGUCUUGACUGGUUUUAGCUACAAGUGAGAACUUCUCUGCAUCUAGCCUCUUCCAUUGUAUAUUAGAUGAACUUAGCUUACUGUUUGAAGACUGUGUUUCAUAUUUUAUCCCCUUGUUAUGGGGUAUGUUACCCGGUUUGAAGCAGGAUUUACGUCUUUUCUUUUCACCUUUCAUGUUAAUUUACAGUACCAUUGACUGAUAAUUUAUGAAGAACUAUAUUUUCCUGCAUUAUUUAUAUCAUUCGAAGAUGCUGUCAGCUUCCAUGACACAAGUUUGCCACUAAUUGCUGACAGUGACACUCUUAGGGGGAUUUACAGGUGCUGGACAAUAUGGUCUAAGAUAUCACGUGUGUGUACAGUAGGGCUUACAUCUUAUUGGAUUACCACUAAUUGCAUUACCAUAUAAACCACAGCUUUUCAUAUAUGAUAAGGAACUUAUUUGCCUUCAUAAAUAUACAUUUCUUGUAAGUUUUUAACUUUUAGCUCCUUUGCAUAUGUAGUUCUUAUUGAAAAAAAGAAAGAUUUUUUUUUUUUUAAUUAAAAAAAUAAUUUAAAUAUUUUUUUUUUCAUCAAAAUUUACUUUUUACUAGAUUUUCAUACACAAAAUGAAUUUAUCUACCAUGUGCAAUUUACAGAAUGUAAAUAUCUUUUGAAAUAAAAAAGUUUUGCUGAUUUUAA